RNAcentral lists this transfer RNA (85 nucleotides) under Verrucomicrobiota bacterium. RNAcentral's name for it is "tRNA-Leu". It matches the Rfam family "tRNA". From Rfam's summary of the family: Transfer RNA (tRNA) molecules are approximately 80 nucleotides in length. Their secondary structure includes four short double-helical elements and three loops (D, anti-codon, and T loops). RNAcentral also lists the same sequence under 1 other name. Lineage: Bacteria; Pseudomonadati; Verrucomicrobiota. The record is from RNAcentral.
GCGGUCAUGGCGGAAUUGGCAGACGCGCUACGUUGAGGUCGUAGUCCCGAAAGGGGUGGAGGUUCGAGUCCUCUUGACCGCACCA